GAUGAACGCUGGCGGCGUGCCUAAUACAUGCAAGUCGAGCGAACGGACGAGAGGCUUGCUUCUCUGAUGUUAGCGGCGGACGGGUGAGUAACACGUGGAUAACCUACCUAUAAGACUGGGAUAACUUCGGGAAACCGGAGCUAAUACCGGAUAAUAUUUUGAACCGCAUGGUUCAAAAGUGAAAGACGGUCUUGCUGUCACUUAUAGAUGGAUCCGCGCUGCAUUAGCUAGUUGGUAAGGUAACGGCUUACCAAGGCAACGAUGCAUAGCCGACCUGAGAGGGUGAUCGGCGACACUGGAAAUGAGACAAGGUCCAGAUUCCGACGGGGGGCAGCAGUGGGGAAUCUUCCGCAAUAGGCGAAAGCCUGACGGAGCAACGCCGCGUGAGUGAUGAAGGUCUUCGGAUCGUAAAACUCUGUUAUUAGGGAAGAACAUAUGUGUAAGUAGCUGUGCACAUCGUGACGGUACCUAAUCAGAAAGCCACGGCUAACUACGUG
Molecule: ribosomal RNA, 497 nt
Filed under: uncultured bacterium
Lineage: Bacteria
Description: partial 16S ribosomal RNA
Rfam family: Bacterial small subunit ribosomal RNA
Source: RNAcentral